AGUGAACGCUGGCGAUAGGCCUAACACAUGCAAGUCGAACGGCAGCACAGUAAGAGCUUGCUCUUACGGGUGGCGAGUGGCGGACGGGUGAGGAAUACAUCGGAAUCUACUUUUUCGUGGGGGAUAACGUAGGGAAACUUACGCUAAUACCGCAUACGACCUACGGGUGAAAGCAGGGGAUCUUCGGACCUUGCGCGAUUGAAUGAGCCGAUGUCGGAUUAGCUAGUUGGCGGGGUAAAGGCCCACCAAGGCGACGAUCCGUAGCUGGUCUGAGAGGAUGAUCAGCCACACUGGAACUGAGACACGGUCCAGACUCCUACGGGAGGCAGCAGUGGGGAAUAUUGGACAAUGGGCGCAAGCCUGAUCCAGCCAUACCGCGUGGGUGAAGAAGGCCUUCGGGUUGUAAAGCCCUUUUGUUAGGAAAGAAAAGCAGCAGGUUAAUACCCCGCUGUUCUGACGGUACCCAAAGAAUAAGCACCGGCUAACUUCGUG
RNAcentral lists this ribosomal RNA (492 nucleotides) under uncultured bacterium. Its description in RNAcentral is "partial 16S ribosomal RNA". It matches the Rfam family "Bacterial small subunit ribosomal RNA", at positions 29 to 507 of the family's 1533-position model. The record is from RNAcentral.